Molecule: ribosomal RNA, 232 nt
Filed under: uncultured bacterium
Lineage: Bacteria
Description: partial 16S ribosomal RNA
Rfam family: Bacterial small subunit ribosomal RNA
Source: RNAcentral
UGAGUAACCUGCCCUUCACUCUGGGAUAACUCCGGGAAACCGGGGCUAAUACUGGAUAUGACUCGAACAGGCAUCUGUUUCGGGUGGAAAGAUUUUAUUGGUGGAGGUUGGACUCGCGGCCUAUCAGCUUGUUGGUGAGGUAAUGGCUCACCAAGGCGACGACGGGUAGCCGGCCUGAGAGGGCGAUCGGCCACACUGGGACUGAGACACGGCCCAGACUCCUACGGGAGCA